Molecule: non-coding RNA, 101 nt
Organism: Cucumis melo (muskmelon)
Lineage: Eukaryota; Viridiplantae; Streptophyta; Magnoliopsida; Cucurbitales; Cucurbitaceae
Source: RefSeq, marked provisional
ACCUACGUUGUUGACAGAAGAUAGAGGGCACAGACGAUGAAAUGCAUAUUUGGUGCAUCUCAAUCUUUUGUGCUCUCUAUACUUCUGUCACCACCUUUUCA